This is a non-coding RNA of Rhodopseudomonas palustris, 136 nucleotides long. The record is from Rfam. NCBI's taxonomy places the organism in Bacteria, Pseudomonadati, Pseudomonadota, Alphaproteobacteria, Hyphomicrobiales, Nitrobacteraceae.
CGAGCCGCAGCUUGGGAGAGCGUCGCGGCUCGCACGAUCCGCGGUCGGCCUGGGAGGGCGGGACACGGCUCAUUGAGGGGAGAACCACCGAUGGAGAAUAUGUUUCUCGUCGGCUUGUCGCGGCAAAUGGUGCUUG